RNAcentral lists this transfer RNA (84 nucleotides) under Schistocephalus solidus. It matches the Rfam family "tRNA". From Rfam's summary of the family: Transfer RNA (tRNA) molecules are approximately 80 nucleotides in length. Their secondary structure includes four short double-helical elements and three loops (D, anti-codon, and T loops). The record is from Rfam by way of RNAcentral. Lineage: Eukaryota; Metazoa; Platyhelminthes; Cestoda; Diphyllobothriidea; Diphyllobothriidae.
GGCCUCGUAGCUCAGUUGGCUAGAGCUUUGGCUGUACUAAAGACUUCCCCAUUGCUUGCGUGGGUUCGAGUCCCACCGAGGCCA